Molecule: ribosomal RNA, 252 nt
Filed under: uncultured bacterium
Lineage: Bacteria
Description: partial 16S ribosomal RNA
Rfam family: Bacterial small subunit ribosomal RNA
Source: RNAcentral
UACGGAGGAUGCGAGCGUUAUCCGGAUUUAUUGGGUUUAAAGGGUGCGUAGGCGGGCUUUUAAGUCAGCGGUAAAAAUUCGGGGCUCAACCCCGUCCGGCCGUUGAAACUGGGUGCCUUGAGUGGGCGAGAAGUACGCGGAAUGCGUGGUGUAGCGGUGAAAUGCAUAGAUAUCACGCAGAACUCCGAUUGCGAAGGCAGCGUACCGGCGCCCUACUGACGCUGAAGCACGAAGGCGUGGGUAUCGAACAGG